RNAcentral lists this ribosomal RNA (506 nucleotides) under uncultured bacterium. RNAcentral's name for it is "partial 16S ribosomal RNA". It matches the Rfam family "Bacterial small subunit ribosomal RNA", at positions 29 to 523 of the family's 1533-position model. The record is from RNAcentral.
AGUGAACGCUGGCGGUAGGCCUAACACAUGCAAGUCGAACGGCAGCACAGGAGAGCUUGCUCUCUGGGUGGCGAGUGGCGGACGGGUGAGGAAUACACCGGAAUCUACUUUUUCGUGGGGGAUAACGUAGGGAAACUUACGCUAAUACCGCAUACGACCUACGGGUGAAAGCAGGGGAUCUUCGGACUUUGCGCGAUUGAAUGAGCCGAUGUCGGAUUAGCUAGUUGGCGGGGUAAAGGCCCACCAAGGCGACGAUCCGUAGCUGGUCUGAGAGGAUGAUCAGCCACACUGGAACUGAGACACGGUCCAGACUCCUACGGGAGGCAGCAGUGGGGAAUAUUGGACAAUGGGCGCAAGCCUGAUCCAGCCAUACCGCGUGGGUGAAGAAGGCCUUCGGGUUGUAAAGCCCUUUUGUUGGGAAAGAAAUCCAGCUGGUUAAUACCCGGUUGGGAUGACGGUACCCAAAGAAUAAGCACCGGCUAACUUCGUGCCAGCAGCCGCAGUAA